GCAGCUGCUUUAGCGUCUCUUUGUUUGCCCGGAGGAACAUGGCGGAUCGCCUGACACAGCUACAGGACGCCGUGAACUCGCUUGCAGAUCAGUUUUGUAAUGCCAUUGGAGUGUUGCAGCAGUGUGGUCCUCCUGCCUCUUUCAGUAAUAUUCAGACAACCAUUAACAAAGAUCAGCCAGCUAAUCCUACGGAAGAAUAUGCCCAGCUAUUUGCAGCGCUGAUUGCACGAACAGCAAAAGACAUUGAUGUUUUGAUAGAUUCCUUACCCAGUGAAGAAUCUACAGCUGCUUUACAGGCUGCCAGCUUGUAUAAGCUAGAAGAAGAAAAUCAUGAAGCUGCUACAUGUCUGGAGGAUGUUGUUUAUCGAGGGGAUAUGCUUCUGGAAAAGAUACAGAGUGCCCUUGCUGAUAUUGCGCAGUCACAGCUGAAGACAAGAAGUGGUACCCACAGCCAGUCUCUUCCAGACUCAUAGCACCAGUGUACAUAUCAUGUGGCCGAGAAGAGAACUGUUUCAGUGCCGUUAAGAAUUCUACAUCAGAUUUAGAUCCUGUACAAGUGAAAACAUCCCCCAAGCUAGAGGAGAAGAUGGUAAAUGCAGAAAUGGUGGAUAUUUGAAUUUAGGUUGAUAUCCUUCUGCCUCUUUAAAAGUGACAUUGUAGAGUUCUGGUGCAGUGGAUCAAGGAUCUAGUGUUGUCACUGCAGUGGCUUGUGUCACUGCUGUGGCAAGGGUUCAGUCCCUGGCCCUGGAAUUUCUGCAUGCCACGGGCACAGCCAAAAAGAAAAAAAUAAAAUAAAGGUGACAUUGUAUAAAUUUGGAGCUGGAGCAAGGAA
Molecule: RNA transcript, 832 nt
Organism: Phacochoerus africanus (Common warthog)
Lineage: Eukaryota; Metazoa; Chordata; Mammalia; Artiodactyla; Suidae
Gene: MED21
Gene name: mediator complex subunit 21
Exons: 5
Source: RefSeq, a predicted model, not a curated record